CACGCCUGUAGUCCCAGCUACUCGGGAGGC
RNAcentral lists this non-coding RNA (30 nucleotides) under Cricetulus griseus (Chinese hamster). Lineage: Eukaryota; Metazoa; Chordata; Mammalia; Rodentia; Cricetidae. RNAcentral also lists the same sequence under 1 other name. The record is from RNAcentral.